GGGGAUUUGGCUCAGUGGUAGAGCGCAUGCCUAGGAAGCACAAGGCCCUGGGUUCGAUCCCCAGCUCCG
Non-coding RNA from Rattus norvegicus (Norway rat), 69 nucleotides. NCBI's taxonomy places the organism in Eukaryota, Metazoa, Chordata, Mammalia, Rodentia, Muridae. The record is from Rfam.